GAUGAAGAACGCAGCGAAAUGCGAUAAGUAAUGUGAAUUGCAGAAUUCAGUGAAUCAUCGAAUCUUUGAACGCACCUUGCGCCCUUUGGCCAUUCCGAAGGGCAUGCCUGUUUGAGUAUCAUGAACACCUCAACUCUUCAUGGUUUUCCGUGAUGAGCUUGGACUUUGGGGGUCUUGCUGGCCUAUGGUCAGCUCCUCUAAAAUAAAUCAGCUUGCCAGUGUUUGGUGGGUAUCACAGGUGUGAUAACUAUCUACGCUUGUGGUUUUCCACCAGGUAACCUUCAGCAGUGGAGGUUCGCUGGAGCUCACAGAUGUGUCUCUCCUCAGUGAGGACAGCUCUUUGAAUGUUUGAUCUCAAAUCAGGUAGGACUACCCGCUGAACUUAAGCAUAUCAAUAAGCGAGGA
This 405-nucleotide unclassified non-coding RNA is filed under the name soil metagenome. Its description in RNAcentral is "partial contains 5.8S ribosomal RNA, internal transcribed spacer 2, and large subunit ribosomal RNA". The stretch from base 1 to 121 matches the Rfam family "5.8S ribosomal RNA", at positions 35 to 154 of the family's 154-position model. The record is from RNAcentral.